RNAcentral lists this ribosomal RNA (427 nucleotides) under uncultured Bacillus sp. RNAcentral describes it as "bacterial SSU rRNA". It matches the Rfam family "Bacterial small subunit ribosomal RNA", at positions 355 to 774 of the family's 1533-position model. Lineage: Bacteria; Bacillati; Bacillota; Bacilli; Caryophanales; Bacillaceae. The record is from RNAcentral.
UAGGGAAUCUUCCGCAAUGGACGCAAGUCUGACGGAGCAACGCCGCGUGAGCGAAGAAGGUCUUCGGAUCGUAAAGCUCUGUUGUAAGGGAAGAACAAGUACCAGAGUAACUGCUGGUACCUUGACGGUACCUUACCAGAAAGCCACGGCUAACUACGUGCCAGCAGCCGCGGUAAUACGUAGGUGGCAAGCGUUGUCCGGAAUUAUUGGGCGUAAAGCGCGCGCAGGCGGUCUCUUAAGUCUGAUGUGAAAGCCCCCGGCUCAACCGGGGAGGGUCAUUGGAAACUGGGAAACUUGAGUGCAGAAGAGGAAAGUGGAAUUCCAAGUGUAGCGGUGAAAUGCGUAGAGAUUUGGAGGAACACCAGUGGCGAAGGCGACUUUCUGGUCUGUAACUGACGCUGAGGCGCGAAAGCGUGGGGAGCAAACA